This 440-nucleotide ribosomal RNA is filed under the name uncultured bacterium. RNAcentral's name for it is "partial 16S ribosomal RNA". It matches the Rfam family "Bacterial small subunit ribosomal RNA", at positions 338 to 795 of the family's 1533-position model. The record is from RNAcentral.
CCUACGGGUGGCAGCAGUGGGGAAUAUUGCACAAUGGGGGAAACCCUGAUGCAGCGACGCCGCGUGAGUGAAGAAGUAAUUCGUUAUGUAAAGCUCUGUCAGCAGGGAAGAAAAUGACGGUACCUGAGUAAGAAGCACCGGCUAACUACGUGCAAGCAGCCGCGGUAAUACGUCGGGGGCAAGCGUUAUCCGGUUUUACUGGGUGUAAAGGGAGCGUAGACGGCAGUGCAAGACUGGAGUGAAAGGCGGGGGCUCAACCCCCGGACUGCUCUUGAAACUGUACGGCUGGAGUGCAGGAGAGGUAAGUGGAAUUCCUAGUGUAGCGGUGAAAUGCGUAGAUAUCAGGAGGAACAUCAGUGGCGAAGGCGGCUUACUGGACCGUAACUGACGCUGAGGCGCGAAAGCGUGGGGAGCAAACAGGAUUAUAUACCCCAGUAGUC